This is a non-coding RNA of 190 nucleotides. It matches the Rfam family "6S / SsrS RNA". Rfam says of the family: E. coli 6S RNA was the first non coding RNA to be sequenced, but its function was unknown until recently. It consists of 184 nucleotides that fold into an extended hairpin structure with a large single-stranded internal bulge. The record is from Rfam.
CGAGUCCUGAUGUGUACGACGUUUUUACCUAACAGUUUUGACCGAACAAUUCAAACUUCGGGAGCUUGAUGUUUCCGCUAGGCGUUCAUGCCCCGUGCCGGGGACUAACAAAUAGUGGAAUAAAGCACCCACCUGCCGAGAGCGGGUUCAAAACGAAGGAAAUGAUGGCGGCGGCACGAUUGGGACUCGU